CGCCGCGUCUGAUUAGCUAGUUGGUGAGGUAACGGCCCACCAAGGCGACGAUCAGUAGCCGGACUGAGAGGUUGGCCGGCCACAUUGGGACUGAGAUACGGCCCAGACUCCUACGGGAGGCAGCAG
Molecule: ribosomal RNA, 126 nt
Filed under: uncultured bacterium
Lineage: Bacteria
Description: partial 16S ribosomal RNA
Rfam family: Bacterial small subunit ribosomal RNA
Source: RNAcentral